CCUACGGGAGGCAGCAGUGAGGAAUUUUCUGCAAUGGGCGAAAGCCUGACAGAGCAAUACCGCGUGAGGGAUGAAGACUUACUGAGUUGUAAACCUCGGUGCCUUAAGGAAGAAGAUCUGACGGUACUUAAGGUGGAAAGCAUCGGCUAACUCCGUGCCAGCAGCCGCGGUAAGACGGGGGAUGCAAGUGUUAUCCGGAAUUACUGGGCGUAAAGCGUCUGCAGGUGGUUUUAUAAGUCUGCUGUUAAAUCUUGAGGCUCAACCUCAAAUCUGCAGUGGAAACUAUAAGACUUGAGUAUAGUAGGGGUAGAGGGAAUUUCCAGUGGAGCGGUGAAAUGCGUAGAUAUUGGAAAGAACACCGAUGGCAAGGCACUCUACUGGGCUAUUACUGACACUCAGAGACGAAAGCUAGGGGAGCAAAUGGGAUUAGAUACCCCAGUAGUCCUAGCCGUAAACGAUGGAUACUCGAUGUUGGACGUAUCGACCCGUUCAGUAUCUUAGCUAACGCGUUAAGUAUCCCGCCUGGGGAGUACGCUCGCAAGAGUGAAACUCAAAUGAAUUGACGGCGNGAGAGNGCGACGACGACACGAGGAGAG
Molecule: ribosomal RNA, 596 nt
Filed under: uncultured bacterium
Lineage: Bacteria
Description: bacterial SSU rRNA
Rfam family: Bacterial small subunit ribosomal RNA
Source: RNAcentral